CCUACGGGAGGCAGCAGUGGGGAAUAUUGGGCAAUGGGCGCAAGCCUGACCCAGCAACGCCGCGUGAAGGAAGAAGGCUUUCGGGUUGUACACUUCUUUUCUCAGGGACGAAGAAAGUGACGGUACCUGAGGAAUAAGCCACGGCUAACUACGUGCCAGCAGCCGCGGUAAUACGUCGGUGGCAAGCGUUAUCCGGAUUUACUGGGUGUAAAGGGUGUGUAGGCGGGGAAGCAAGUCAGAUGUGAAAACCACGGGCUCAACCUGUGGCCUGCAUUUGAAACUGUUUUUCUUGAGUACUGGAGAGGCAGACGGAAUUCCUAGUGUAGCGGUGAAAUGCGUAGAUAUUAGGAGGAACACCAGUGGCGAAGGCGGUCUGCUGGACAGCAACUGACGCUGAGGCGCGAAAGCGUGGGGAGCAAACAGGAUUAGAUACCCGGGUAGUC
This 443-nucleotide ribosomal RNA is filed under the name uncultured bacterium. RNAcentral's name for it is "partial 16S ribosomal RNA". It matches the Rfam family "Bacterial small subunit ribosomal RNA", at positions 338 to 795 of the family's 1533-position model. The record is from RNAcentral.